RNAcentral lists this ribosomal RNA (426 nucleotides) under Aeromonas hydrophila. RNAcentral describes it as "bacterial SSU rRNA". It matches the Rfam family "Bacterial small subunit ribosomal RNA", at positions 55 to 476 of the family's 1533-position model. The record is from RNAcentral. Lineage: Bacteria; Pseudomonadati; Pseudomonadota; Gammaproteobacteria; Aeromonadales; Aeromonadaceae.
AUGCAAGGUCGAGCGGCAGCGGGAAAGUAGCUUGCUACUUUUGCCGGCGAGCGGCGGACGGGUGAGUAAUGCCUGGGAAAUUGCCCAGUCGAGGGGGAUAACAGUUGGAAACGACUGCUAAUACCGCAUACGCCCUACGGGGGAAAGCAGGGGACCUUCGGGCCUUGCGCGAUUGGAUAUGCCCAGGUGGGAUUAGCUAGUUGGUGAGGUAAUGGCUCACCAAGGCGACGAUCCCUAGCUGGUCUGAGAGGAUGAUCAGCCACACUGGAACUGAGACACGGUCCAGACUCCUACGGGAGGCAGCAGUGGGGAAUAUUGCACAAUGGGGGAAACCCUGAUGCAGCCAUGCCGCGUGUGUGAAGAAGGCCUUCGGGUUGUAAAGCACUUUCAGCGAGGAGGAAAGGUCAAUACCUAAUUUUUGCUGGC